AGUGGGGAAUAUUGCGCAAUGGGCGAAAGCCUGACGCAGCAACGCCGUGUGAGGGAUGAAGGCUUUCGGGUCGUAAACCUCUGUCAGAAGGGAAGAACGGGCAUUGGUCUAAUAGGCCUUUGUUUUGACGGUACCUUCAGAGGAAGCACCGGCUAACUCCGUGCCAGCAGCCGCGGUAAUACGGAGGGUGCAAGCGUUAUUCGGAAUUACUGGGCGUAAAGCGCACGUAGGCGGCCUUGUAAGUCAGGGGUGAAAUCCCACGGCUCAACCGUGGAACUGCCUUUGAAACUGCAGGGCUUGAAUCCUGGAGAGGGUGGCGGAAUUCCUGGUGUAGGAGUGAAAUCCGUAGAUAUCAGGAGGAACACCGGUGGCGAAGGCGGCCACCUGGACAGGUAUUGACGCUGAGGUGCGAAAGUGUGGGGAGCAAACAGGAUUAGAUACCCUGGUAGUCCACACCGUAAACGAUGGAUACUAGGUGUCGGGGACUUGAUCUUCGGUGCCGUAGCUAACGCGUUAAGUAUCCCG
Molecule: ribosomal RNA, 525 nt
Filed under: uncultured bacterium
Lineage: Bacteria
Description: bacterial SSU rRNA
Rfam family: Bacterial small subunit ribosomal RNA
Source: RNAcentral